Molecule: ribosomal RNA, 439 nt
Filed under: uncultured bacterium
Lineage: Bacteria
Description: partial 16S ribosomal RNA
Rfam family: Bacterial small subunit ribosomal RNA
Source: RNAcentral
CUACGGGGGGCUCCAGUGGGGAAUAUUGCACAAUGGAGGAAACUCUGAUGCAGCAACGCCGCGUGGAGGAUGACACUUUUCGGAGCGUAAACUCCUUUUAUAUAGGAAGAAGAUGACGGUACUAUAUGAAUAAGCGCCGGCUAACUCCGUGCCAGCAGCCGCGGUAAUACGGAGGGCGCAAGCGUUACUCGGAAUCACUGGGCGUAAAGAGCGUGUAGGCGGAUUAAAGAGUCAGAAGUGAAAUCCUAUAGCUUAACUAUAGAACUGCUUCUGAAACUCUUAAUCUAGAAUGUGGGAGAGGUAGAUGGAAUUUCUGGUGUAGGGGUAAAAUCCGUAGAGAUCAGAAGGAAUACCGAUUGCGAAGGCGAUCUACUAGAACAUUAUUGACGCUGAGACGCGAAAGCGUGGGGAGCAAACAGGAUUAGAUACCCCAGUAGUC